UCACCUGUCUUGUCUUCGUGCUAUAUUGCAGCCGAGUCUUGGAAUCAGUUUCGAAAAUUUUGACCUAAUUCCCGACGUAAAAAUCUUCUUAGGAUAUUGAAUGCUCUCUUCUCCUGAUAUAAUGUCCUAGCUUCUUCGAUUGAGUAUCAGCUGUAUGCUUCUGUGAAUUCAAAAAAGAUUACAUCACCGGCGCAUGAAUAGAAACUAAUUGGGCCAUGUUGCUCUUCAGAUUCAAGCACCCACUCGAGUUGCCGAAGAAGACGGCGCUGUUCAUCCAAUACCUGAGCCGCCGAAUGCCCCGAUCCAAUGACCCGCAGGUGGGAGAGCAGCUUUGCAUUGGCUUCAUUUGUUACAGUGAGGUCCGCAUCCGGCCUUCGUUGCCCAAGUUCAGACCUCUGGUCCGCGGAUCGUCCGUCAUCCAGCAGAUAACUCGCGAUUUGAAGGCCAUUCUGAAUCUGGCAGAAGCAGCGUCGCCGUUCGAAGCCGCUGAAGCAAUCUCCAAGCCCGCGCCGAGGAAGAGCAGCCGAGCUUCUCCGAGAAAGGGGGCUCAUCGGGCUUCGUCUUCUGGCAGAGCUCCUCCCGAGUUCCCUCUUUCUUUUACUCGGACGACUGAACUGGACCCCGCGGCCCUCAAAUCCCCUAUAAUUGUUGGAUCGACCCCCCUCGCGGGGAUGGAAACGCAAUGAUCUUCGAUGCGAGGGGCUUUCCUGCAAGGAAGACCCGAAGAGCGACCCGGAUGGGAAUAGUCAACGCUCGCAGGGCCCCC
Molecule: long non-coding RNA, 766 nt
Filed under: Spirodela polyrhiza (greater duckweed)
Lineage: Eukaryota; Viridiplantae; Streptophyta; Magnoliopsida; Alismatales; Araceae
Description: long non-coding RNA (SPOL_LNC001158)
Source: RNAcentral